This 127-nucleotide small RNA is filed under the name Marmota monax (woodchuck). Lineage: Eukaryota; Metazoa; Chordata; Mammalia; Rodentia; Sciuridae. The record is from RNAcentral.
GCUGGGCAUGAUGGCGCACACCUGUAAUCCCAGCCUUAUGGGAGGCUGAGGCAGGAGGAUCACAAGUUUGAGGCUAGUCUUAGCAAUUUGUUGAGACCCUAAGCAAUUUAGUGAGAUCCUGUCCCUU